This 539-nucleotide ribosomal RNA is filed under the name uncultured bacterium. RNAcentral describes it as "bacterial SSU rRNA". It matches the Rfam family "Bacterial small subunit ribosomal RNA", at positions 8 to 526 of the family's 1533-position model. The record is from RNAcentral.
AGAGUUUGAUCCUGGCUCAGAAUCAACGCUGGCGGCGUGCCUCAGACAUGCAAGUCGAACGCGAAAGUUCCCUUCGGGGAGCGAGUAGAGUGGCGCACGGGUGAGUAACACGUAGGUAAUCUACCUUUGGAUGGGGAAUAACAACCGGAAACGGUUGCUAAUACCGCAUAAUGCAGCGGCACCUAAUGGUGACAGUUGUUAAAGCGGGGGAUCGAAAGACCUCGCGUCUGAAGAGGAGCCUGCGGCAGAUUAGCUAGUUGGUAAGGUAACGGCUUACCAAGGCGAUGAUCUGUAACCGGCCUGAGAGGGCGGUCGGUCACACUGACACUGACAUACGGGUCAGACUCCUACGGGAGGCAGCAGUCGGGAAUUUUGGGCAAUGGGCGAAAGCCUGACCCAGCAACGCCGCGUGAAGGAUGAAAUCCCUCGGGAUGUAAACUUCGCAAGAACAGGAAGAAUAAGUAAGAGUGAAUAUCUCUUAUGAUGACGGUACUGUUUGUAAGCUCCGGCUAACUCCGUGCCAGCCGCCGCGGUAAUAC